This 840-nucleotide ribosomal RNA is filed under the name Dicelis sp. 'Kedrovaya Pad'. RNAcentral's name for it is "SSU rRNA". It matches the Rfam family "Eukaryotic small subunit ribosomal RNA", at positions 72 to 917 of the family's 1831-position model. The record is from RNAcentral. Lineage: Eukaryota; Metazoa; Nematoda; Chromadorea; Rhabditida; Drilonematidae.
GAUUUAAUCGUGAAACCGCGAAUGGCUCAUUAUAACAGCUAUAAUUUACUUGAUCUUGACUCAAUCCUACUUGGAUAACUGUGGUAAUUCUAGAGCUAAUACAUGCAUUAAUGCUCUGACCUCACGGGAAGAGUGCAUUUAUUAGAACAAAACCAAGCGGCUUCGGCUGUUUCUGGUUGACUCAUAGUAACUGAGCUGAUCGCACGGUCUUGUACCGGCGACGUGUCUUUCAAGUAUCUGCCGUAUCAACUUUCGAUGGUAGUGUAUCUGACUACCAUGGUGAUCACGCGUAACGGAGAAUAAGGGUUCGGCUCCGGAGAGUUCGCCUGAGAAAUCGCGAACACAUCUAGGGAAGGCAGCAGGCGCGAAAAUUACCCACUCUCAGCACGAGGAGGUAGUGACGAAAAAUAACGAGACCGUUCUCUUCUGAGGCCGGUCAUCGGAAUGGGUACAAUUUAAACCCUUUAACGAGUAUCUAUGAGAGGGCAAGUCUGGUGCCAGCAGCCGCGGUAAUUCCAGCUCUCAAAGUGCAUAGAAUUAUUGCUGCGGUUAAAAAGCUCGUAGUUGGAUCUGUGCCAUAGGACGUGGUCCACCUUCGGGUGCGUACUACGCUCCUAGGCUUUUUGCUGGUUUUCCCGUCGUAGCCUUCACUGGUUGCGGCGGGUGGCUGGCGAGUUUACUUUGAGAAAAUCAGAGUGCUCAAUACAGGCGUAUCGCUUGAAUGAUUGUGCAUGGAAUAAUAGAAAAGGAUUUCGGUCCUCUUUUAUUGGUUUUGUGGACUGAGAUAAUGGUUAACAGGGACAAACGGGGGCAUUCGUAUCGCUGCGUGAGAGGUGAAAU